RNAcentral lists this ribosomal RNA (445 nucleotides) under uncultured soil bacterium. RNAcentral's name for it is "bacterial SSU rRNA". It matches the Rfam family "Bacterial small subunit ribosomal RNA", at positions 26 to 518 of the family's 1533-position model. The record is from RNAcentral.
AGAGCGAACGCUGGCGGCAGGCCUAACACACGCAAGUCGAACGGACCCUUCGGGGUUAGUGGCGGACGGGUGAGUAACACGUGGGAACGUGCCUUUAGGUUCGGAAUAGCUCCUGGAAACGGGUGGUAAUGCCGAAUGUGCCCUUCGGGGGAAAGAUUUAUCGCCUUUAGAGCGGCCCGCGUCUGAUUAGCUUGUUGGUGGGUAAUGGCCCACCAAGGCUACGAUCAGUAGCUGGUCUGAGAGGAUGACCAGCCACAUUGGGACUGAGACACGGCCCAAACUCCUACGGGAGGCAGCAGUGGGGAAUCUUGCGCAAUGGGCGAAAGCCUGACGCAGCCAUGCCGCGUGUAUGAUGAAGUCUUAGGAUUGUAAAAUACUUUCACCGGUGAAGAUAAUGACUGUAGCCGGAGAAGAACGCCCGGAUAACUUCGUAGCCAGCAGCCGC